UGCCAGCAGCCGCGGUAAUACAGAGGUGGCAAGCGUUGCUCGGAAUCAUUGGGCAUAAAGGGCGUCUAGGCGGACAGGUCAGUCGGUUGUGAAAUCCCUCGGCUUAACCGAGGAACUGCAGCCGAUACUGCCAGUCUUGAGGAUGAGAGGGGAGAGUGGAACUCCUGGUGGAGCGGUGAAAUGCGUAGAUAUCAGGAGGAACGCCGGCGGCGAAAGCGACUCUCUGGCUCAUUCCUGACGCUGAAGCGCGAAAGCUAGGGGAGCGAACGGGAUUAGAUA
RNAcentral lists this ribosomal RNA (279 nucleotides) under uncultured bacterium. RNAcentral describes it as "partial 16S ribosomal RNA". It matches the Rfam family "Bacterial small subunit ribosomal RNA", at positions 506 to 784 of the family's 1533-position model. The record is from RNAcentral.